Molecule: microRNA precursor, 60 nt
Organism: Oreochromis aureus
Lineage: Eukaryota; Metazoa; Chordata; Actinopteri; Cichliformes; Cichlidae
Source: Ensembl
AUCCGGCUCGAAGGACCAUAAAAUGGAGAGAAUGUUGUCUCCAGGAGUUUAGCUGAUUUA